Molecule: ribosomal RNA, 124 nt
Filed under: Salmonella enterica subsp. enterica serovar Corvallis
Lineage: Bacteria; Pseudomonadati; Pseudomonadota; Gammaproteobacteria; Enterobacterales; Enterobacteriaceae
Description: partial 16S ribosomal RNA
Rfam family: Bacterial small subunit ribosomal RNA
Source: RNAcentral
UUAAAUUGAAGAGUUUGAUCAUGGCUCAGAUUGAACGCUGGCGGCAGGCUUAACACAUGCAAGUCGAACGGUAACAGGAAGCAGCUUGCUGCUUUGCUGACGAGUGGCGGACGGGUGAGUAAUG